GCGUAUUUCCACGGAACAUUAAAUACUUUUACCGCGGGAGGCUGCAUUAACUGAGAGUAUUCGACACCAACCGAGCCUGGUGCUUACCGUGUAACAGUCGUCGCAAAACCCACCAAUGGCUCAAAUUCGCCAUUUAGUGCCACGGAAACGACAAUACACAGCAAGUGAGUUCUAAAAGAAAGGCAAUGAUAAUUCGCGAUAAGAGGUCUUCAGGUCUUCAGGACUGUACCCCAGAACUGUUCUUUUAAACGAACAACAAAGUGGUCUGGCAAAGUUGCCACUUUACGGGGAAGCCUUUUUAACCAUAAGUGAGGCAGGGGAGCAGUGCGAGGUAAGAUAAAAAUCUAGGUGAGACUCUCCCGCUACCGUUUGAUUAUCGAGUGAUCUUGUGAGCAUAAGACGUUAUAUUUCUUUUCGCCUUCCUUUAUUUUAAUUUUCCGAAAAGUUUCAUCUUAGCCAGGAAAUGUUAUAAGAGUAGUUAAAUGAACUUAAUAUGAACAUUUACUUCAUUUUUAUGUUAAAAAAUCAAGUUACGUUCCAGUUAGGCUGAAAACGGCACGGAAAAAUCGCCUUAAACGAAUACAAGCAGGAUUUUACUACAAUCCUAAUCAAAUCCUGUUAUUUGUGGAUAACUUUUGAGUUGUUUGUAUUUACUUAUUACGACUCGAAUUUUUCUCUUCACAGAAUGCUGAUGAUGUCAUUAGUACCGACUGUUUCCCGCAUUAAUUUCUGUAAGCUCACAUCAUUCAGCGUUGUCUUAUUUACAAUGGUCGAGGGUGUGAAAAAUUUCAAAAGAAAAAAUGUUAAAAGAGGGCGCUACACUGGCACAACAUAGCUACUUUUACUUCCCAAAUAACCUCAAACUGCAGUGCAAGGUAAGAUACUUCUAGAAUUAAACAACUGUCCUCGGAAAAAAGUUUGAAAAACCUCACAGUCAACAGAAUAGAUAUAUUUGAUUUACUUGUGGAGUUUACUAUAAUCCAGGGGUUUCAAUAAAAGCUGGUUACCAGCGGUAUACCGUCGCCUGUAGGACCUCGGGGCCGUCGUCUGUUUGGAUUUCAUUCAUGAAAAUAAAAAGUGAUUUUAGUGGUCAGAGCCGCCUUCAGUGGCCGCUUAUAACUAAUGUUAUUGAAACCCCUGUAAUCUGAACUUGUUUUAAACUCUCUCCUUGAGAGCAUAUUACAUGCACAAUUUAAAAUAAGGUUUGGUCAAUUAAAACGUUCCAGCACUUUUUAGGUCGUUAUUUACAACAAGCCUUGGAAACCUUUGUUGUUGGACACUGGUCUGUCUCAAGGCAAAUGCCGCGGACUUCGAGACAGUCGUCCGCCGGUGGAGAAAAUUUGAUUUUCUUGAAUAAAGAAAGUUCAUUCUCAGCACAAGGCUACACAUGGCUUGUGGAAAACCUCUCCAGUGAGGGGGACGUGGUUAUUGACGCAGGAACCCCCAAUGACUAAGCAAUGGUGGCUGCGUUGAGGAAAGGGCGAAGCGCGGUUAGGAUAGACAGUACCGCUUUGCCGUCCAAACAGACAGCAAUAGAGACUAAAAUUUGUAGUCUUGUAUCUUCAUAGUUUAUAUCUCAAUGACAAUAAACUAGUUAAAGUAAAAAAUUCAAUUGACAAAGUUUAUGUUAGAUACAAUGGAUAUAUGAAGUUCAU
Stylophora pistillata is the source of this 1655-nucleotide long non-coding RNA. Lineage: Eukaryota; Metazoa; Cnidaria; Anthozoa; Scleractinia; Pocilloporidae. The record is from RefSeq and is a predicted model, not a curated record.